CAGUCGCCACGGUAAAACGUAGGGUGCAAGCGUUAAUCGGAAUUACUGGGCGUAAAGCGUGCGCAGGCGGUUAUAUAAGACAGAUGUGAAAUCCCCGGGCUCAACCUGGGAACUGCAUUUGUGACUGUAUAGCUAGAGUACGGCAGAGGGGGAUGGAAUUCCGCGUGUAGCAGUGAAAUGCGUAGAUAUGCGGAGGAACACCGAUGGCGAAGGCAAUCCCCUGGGCCUGUACUGACGCUCAUGCACGAAAGCGUGGGGAGCAAACAGGAUUAGAUACCCCCGUAGUCCCUGUCUCUUAUAA
RNAcentral lists this ribosomal RNA (301 nucleotides) under uncultured bacterium. RNAcentral describes it as "partial 16S ribosomal RNA". It matches the Rfam family "Bacterial small subunit ribosomal RNA", at positions 509 to 809 of the family's 1533-position model. The record is from RNAcentral.